This 496-nucleotide ribosomal RNA is filed under the name uncultured bacterium. RNAcentral's name for it is "partial 16S ribosomal RNA". It matches the Rfam family "Bacterial small subunit ribosomal RNA", at positions 30 to 523 of the family's 1533-position model. The record is from RNAcentral.
UUGAACGCUGGCGGCAGGCCUAACACAUGCAAGUCGAGCGCGAAAGGUUUUCGGACUGAGUAAAGCGGCGGACGGGUGAGUAACGCGUGGGAAUCUGCCCAGUAGUGGGGGACAACAGCCGGAAACGGCUGCUAAUACCGCAUACGCCCUACGGGGGAAAGGGGGGGAUCUUCGGACCUCUCGCUAUUGGAUGAGCCCGCGUCGGAUUAGCUAGUUGGUAGGGUAAAGGCCUACCAAGGCUACGAUCCGUAACUGGUCUGAGAGGAUGAUCAGUCACACUGGAACUGAGACACGGUCCAGACUCCUACGGGAGGCAGCAGUGGGGAAUAUUGGACAAUGGGGGCAACCCUGAUCCAGCCAUGCCGCGUGUGUGAAGAAGGCCUUAGGGUUGUAAAGCACUUUCAGUGGGGAGAAAGGUUUGUCACCUAAUACGUGAUGAAAUUGAUGUUACCCACAGAAGAAGCACCGGCUAACUCCGUGCCAGCCGCCGCCGUAA